RNAcentral lists this ribosomal RNA (253 nucleotides) under uncultured bacterium. Its description in RNAcentral is "partial 16S ribosomal RNA". It matches the Rfam family "Bacterial small subunit ribosomal RNA", at positions 524 to 776 of the family's 1533-position model. The record is from RNAcentral.
UACGUAGGGGGCAAGCGUUGUUCGGAAUUACUGGGCGUAAAGGGCGCGUAGGCGGCAUGGCAAGUCGGGAGUGAAAGGCCUAGGCUCAACCGAGGAACUGCUUUCGAGACUGCCAAGCUAGAGUGCGGAAGGGGCAUCUGGAAUUCCCAGUGUAGCGGUGAAAUGCGUAGAUAUUGGGAAGAACACCUGAGGCGAAGGCGGGAUGCUGGGCCGACACUGAUGCUGAGGCGCGAAAGCCAGGGGAGCAAACGGG